ACAUGGCAACCAGGUGAUCGUGUUGUGUUCACGUCUACGGACUUUGACUGGAAACAGGCGGAAGAACUUGAAGUGUUUCCUUGUGACGACUGCGCCAGCAACCAGUUCCGGGUCAAAGGAGAAUUCAAGUUCCCCCACUACGGCAAGGUGUAUGACGGAGUGGACAUGAGAGGUGAAGUGGCACUGCUGUC
Haliotis rubra (blacklip abalone) is the source of this 191-nucleotide long non-coding RNA. RefSeq lists it as uncharacterized. The record is from RefSeq and is a predicted model, not a curated record. NCBI's taxonomy places the organism in Eukaryota, Metazoa, Mollusca, Gastropoda, Lepetellida, Haliotidae. The transcript has 3 exons.